GACGUAGGGGGCCAGCGUUGUUCGGAAUUACUGGGCGUAAAGGGUUCGUAGGCGGUGCGGCAAGUUGGGAGUGAAAUCUCUGGGCUUAACCCAGAGGCUGCUUCCAAAACUGCUGUGCUUGAGUGUGGGAGAGGCGCGUGGAAUUGCAGGUGUAGCGGUGAAAUGCGUAGAUAUCUGCAGGAACACCCGUGGCGAAAGCGGCGCGCUGGACCACUACUGACGCUGAGGAACGAAAGCUAGGGGAGCAAACAGG
RNAcentral lists this ribosomal RNA (253 nucleotides) under uncultured bacterium. RNAcentral describes it as "partial 16S ribosomal RNA". It matches the Rfam family "Bacterial small subunit ribosomal RNA", at positions 524 to 776 of the family's 1533-position model. The record is from RNAcentral.